This 461-nucleotide ribosomal RNA is filed under the name uncultured bacterium. Its description in RNAcentral is "bacterial SSU rRNA". It matches the Rfam family "Bacterial small subunit ribosomal RNA", at positions 63 to 518 of the family's 1533-position model. The record is from RNAcentral.
UGAACUUGUUCAGAGGGACUAGAUGAUGAUUAUAACAAUGGCUUUAGUGGCGGGACUGGUGAGUAACGCGUAGGUAACCUGCCUAACAGAGGGGGAAUAAACAGUGAGAAAUCAUUGCUAAUACCGCAUAUGCUCACAGUACCACAUGGUACAGUGAGGAAAGGAGUAAUCCGCUGAUAGAUGGGGCCUGCGUCUGAUUAGCUAGUUGGUUAGGUAAAAGCUGACCAAGGCAACGAUCAGUAGCCGGACUGAGAGGUUAAACGGCCACAUUGGGACUGAGAUACGGCCCAGACUCCUACGGGAGGCAGCAGUCGGGAAUAUUGCGCAAUGGAGGAAAAACCUCUGACGCAGUGACGCCGCGUAUAGGAAGAAGGUUUUCGGAUUGUAAACUAUUGUCGUUAGGGAAGAUAAAAGACAGUACCUAAGGAGGAAGCCCCGGCUAACUAUGUGCCAGCCGCAGC